ACUUUACAAUGCUGGCAACAGCGAUAAGGGAACCUCGAGUGCCAGGUUACAAAUCUGGCUGUCGUGAUGCCUAAAAAGCAUUACAUAGCAAGGGCCGGGCAAGACCGGUGCCAGCCGCCGCGGUAACACCGGCGGCUCGAGUGGUAACCGUUAUUAUUGGGUCUAAAGGGUCUGUAGCCGGCCGGAUAAGUCUCUUGGGAAAUCUGGCAGCUUAACUGUCAGGCUUUCAGGAGAUACUGUCUGGCUCGAGGCCGGGAGAGGUGAGAGGUACUUCAGGGGUAGGGGUGAAAUCUUGUAAUCCUUGAAGGACCACCAGUGGCGAAGGCGUCUCACCAGAACGGACCUGACGGCAAGGGACGAAAGCUAGGGGCACGAACCGG
RNAcentral lists this ribosomal RNA (380 nucleotides) under uncultured archaeon. Its description in RNAcentral is "bacterial SSU rRNA". It matches the Rfam family "Archaeal small subunit ribosomal RNA", at positions 347 to 727 of the family's 1478-position model. The record is from RNAcentral.